RNAcentral lists this ribosomal RNA (490 nucleotides) under uncultured bacterium. RNAcentral describes it as "partial 16S ribosomal RNA". It matches the Rfam family "Bacterial small subunit ribosomal RNA", at positions 28 to 507 of the family's 1533-position model. The record is from RNAcentral.
GAUGAACGCUAGCUACAGGCUUAACACAUGCAAGUCGCGGGGCAGCAUGGGGGUUGCUUGCAGUCCCUGAUGGCGACCGGCGCACGGGUGAGUAACGCGUAUCCAACCUGCCCUUCACCACGGGAUAACCCGGCGAAAGUCGGACUAAUACCGUAUGUUGUCCAUUGACGGCAUCCGAUUUGGACGAAAGGCUUAGCGGUGAGGGAUGGGGAUGCGUCCGAUUAGCUUGACGGCGGGGUAACGGCCCACCGUGGCUACGAUCGGUAGGGGUUCUGAGAGGAAGGUCCCCCACACUGGAACUGAGACACGGUCCAGACUCCUACGGGAGGCAGCAGUGAGGAAUAUUGGUCAAUGGGCGUAAGCCUGAACCAGCCAAGUAGCGUGCAGGAUGACGGCCCUAUGGGUUGUAAACUGCUUUUAUGCGGGGAUAAAGGGACCCACGUGUGGGUUUUUGCAGGUACCGCAUGAAUAAGGACCGGCUAAUUCCGUG